AGAGAUCUUGAUGCAGACGCCCUUUUGGAUUUCUUUUUAAUAGUGUGUGACCCUUCACCUUUGAUCCCUUGACCUGCAUUACUUUGGACUACAGAUUAAAAUUGUAGCGAGCUGUUCACGUAGUGCCACUGGGCUCAGCUGGUGCCUGGCCUCUGAAGGAGCCUGGAGCUCACCUGAACACCCUCCUGGACUGCAUUUGGCUCUGCUCCUGUCCGGGAGUCCUGCUGACCUGAGCCUGAGCUGUCUCCUUCCCCUCUGAGGAGUCCUCUGUGAGUUUUGAGGGAUUCAGCCCUAGCAGGUUCUACCUGAACUGAGGGGAUGCACCAUCAACAUCAGAACCUGGUUCAGGAAACAGCUGGUUUGAAGUGGCAUCCCUGCCUGAGAACGGUAUAUCCAGCACUGAUCUCUGUACUUAACUGCAAGAUCCUUGUUUUUAAACUGCCCUUGUGUGGCAGAAUUGCCUGCUAAAAUAGUGGCAGAUGCAGUAUCCACAGAAUUCCCUGCCCAGCACCUCUGUGUUACUGUAUGAGUUUCUCUGACCCUGGGGCUAUGAGCUGUGCUGGAUUGUCACAGCCUCCAUCAGUGCUUGAAGCAUUCAGAUGGAUUUUCCCUUCCCCUCCUGUUCCAAAUUUCAGCUGUAAUUGUUUUUGUAGACCUGGAGUUGUCAGUUCUGGUACACAGACUGCUGCUUCUCACCAAGCCUGGCUGGGAUGGCUGGGAUGUGGCUUUGGCUUGGGUUUAAUGCUACCUGUCAGCCUGAGAAGAAGAAUCCUCCAGAAACCAUCUUAAGCCAUUUCUCCAGUCUCCAGAACAGGAAUUUUAAAACUCAUUGGGAAAAAAUACUUACUUACUUUUCCAAAGAAAACUCCUUGAAGACUCUUUUUCUCCUCGUAACACAUAUUUUAUGUUGGCAGCAGUUAGAUGUGAAUGCCUUGACUUUCCAGUGCA
This is a long non-coding RNA of Cyanistes caeruleus (blue tit), 948 nucleotides long. RefSeq lists it as uncharacterized. NCBI's taxonomy places the organism in Eukaryota, Metazoa, Chordata, Aves, Passeriformes, Paridae. The record is from RefSeq and is a predicted model, not a curated record.